UGCUUACAGACAUCAUUCUAUAUACAAUGUCAAACUAGACAAUGAACUACAACACCACAUACGUAACAUGUUCAACCUCAGCAAUACUUAAAUACCUUGGGCAAAUUAGAUUGACAGUAAUCCUAAUUUGUAUAAACAUACAAUCUUGUUACUUAUGCUGAAUUUGCAAGAGCAAGUUUCUCAUUAAGCUUUGUAAUCCGAGCCUUGAAGGAUUUUGAGCGACGGAUGGACGGAUCUAACUCUAAAGCCAUGGAGUAUGACCUCUCGGCUGCAUCGACAUGGUCCAGAGCCAUCAAAACAUCACCUUGGCAGAUAUAACCUUCAGGAUAAUUGGGAGCAAUAUUUAACGCCUCCUUAGAAUCUUCGAGUGCCUCGGCCAAAUUUCCCAUUGCCAACUCUGCAGCACACCUGUCUUUGAGCAUAAUAUGAACACCUCCAAACGGCUUUAGAGCAAUAGCCUGUGAGAGCAAACCAUGAGCCUCAGAGAAAUUACCAUUACCCAUCUCAUCUUCAGCUCUUUUCCUCAACGCUAAAGCCUCCAAACUUCUCCUACUCUCUCCUUCAACAUCAUCCCUACCAAGGCACACGAACGCCAUAACUUCAGCAGUUCGAGUGGGAGUACCAACGUGCUUGACAUAUACAGCACCAGGUAAAACGACGACAUUAGGUCCAGCCCCGCAACGGCCAAGACAUCCACAGGAAUUAACCGCUACAAAGGGAGGAGCAAUUCCAGAUAAAACUUGAAGGGUAUCCAAGGAUCCCUGUUUCCUGCAUGCCCUCUCUGUGCAAACUCGAAUUUCCAUCUUCCUUUCUACUUCUUCUUCUUUUACUGAUGAUGCUUUGAUUCGUGUAUUGUUAAUGGAUUUGAAUUUGGGAAGUGGAAAGAGGAGGAACAGAGAAAAGGGUUGCUGAGAAAUGCUUCUGAGAGUGCUCAAAUGGAUUGCACUCAUCGUUUUACUCAAGUUACUUCUUGUUUCUCCGAUUUCUUCUUUACUCUUUUGCUUUCUUCAUUGAGAAAAAUUGCUCGCCGGAGAAAUGACAGAGUGUGCAGCGG
RNAcentral lists this unclassified non-coding RNA (1054 nucleotides) under Hevea brasiliensis (rubber tree). The record is from RNAcentral. Lineage: Eukaryota; Viridiplantae; Streptophyta; Magnoliopsida; Malpighiales; Euphorbiaceae.